Molecule: ribosomal RNA, 477 nt
Filed under: uncultured bacterium
Lineage: Bacteria
Description: partial 16S ribosomal RNA
Rfam family: Bacterial small subunit ribosomal RNA
Source: RNAcentral
AUUGAACGCUGGCGGCAUGCCUUACACAUGCAAGUCGAACGGUAACAGGUUAAGCUGACGAGUGGCGAACGGGUGAGUAAUGUAUCGGAACGUGCCCAGUCGUGGGAGAUAACUGCUCGAAAGAGCAGCUAAUACCGCAUACGACCUGGGGGUGAAAGCGGGGGAUCGCAAGACCUCGCGCGAUUGGAGCGGCCGAUAUCAGAUUAGGUAGUUGGUGAGGUAAAGGCUCACCAAGCCGACGAUCUGUAGCUGGUCUGAGAGGACGACCAGCCACACUGGGACUGAGACACGGCCCAGACUCCUACGGGAGGCAGCAGUGGGGAAUUUUGGACAAUGGGCGCAAGCCUGAUCCAGCCAUGCCGCGUGCGGGAAGAAGGCCUUCGGGUUGUAAACCGCUUUUGUCAGGGAAGAAAAGGUUCUGGCUAAUACCUGGGACUCAUGACGGUACCUGAAGAAUAAGCACCGGCUAACUACGUG